CCUACGGGUGACUGCAGUGGGGAAUAUUGGGCAAUGGGCGCAAGCCUGACCCAGCAACGCCGCGUGAAGGAAGAAGGCUUUCGGUUUGUAAACUUCUUUUCUCAGGGACGAAGCAAGUGACGGUACCUGAGGAAUAAGCCACGGCUAACUACGUGCCAGCAGCCGCGGUAAUACGUAGGGGGCAAGCGUUAUCCGGAUUUACUGGGUGUAAAGGGCGUGUAGGCGGGACUGCAAGUCAGAUGUGAAAACCACGGGCUCAACCUGUGGCCUGCCUUUGAAACUGUGGUUCUUGAGUACUGGAGAGGCAGACGGAAUGCCUGGUGUAGCGGUGAAAUGCGUAGAUAUUAGGAGGAACACCAGUGGCGAAGGCGGUCUGCUGGAGAGCAACUGACGCUGAGGCGCGAAAGCGUGGGGAGCGAACAGGAUUAGAUACCCGAGUAGUC
This 443-nucleotide ribosomal RNA is filed under the name uncultured bacterium. Its description in RNAcentral is "partial 16S ribosomal RNA". It matches the Rfam family "Bacterial small subunit ribosomal RNA", at positions 338 to 795 of the family's 1533-position model. The record is from RNAcentral.